RNAcentral lists this ribosomal RNA (163 nucleotides) under uncultured bacterium. Its description in RNAcentral is "partial 16S ribosomal RNA". It matches the Rfam family "Bacterial small subunit ribosomal RNA", at positions 355 to 509 of the family's 1533-position model. The record is from RNAcentral.
UAGGGAAUUUUCGUCAAUGGGCGCAAGCCUGAACGAGCAAUGCCGCGUGAACGAGGAAGGUCUUCGGAUCGUUAAAGUUCUGUUGAAGGGGAAAAAGAGCGGAGAGAGGAAAUGGUCUCCGAUUGAUAUUACCCUUCGAGGAAGUCACGGCUAACUACGUGCC